Aphis gossypii (cotton aphid) is the source of this 335-nucleotide long non-coding RNA. RefSeq lists it as uncharacterized. Lineage: Eukaryota; Metazoa; Arthropoda; Insecta; Hemiptera; Aphididae. The record is from RefSeq and is a predicted model, not a curated record. The transcript is spliced from 3 exons.
CAACAUUCAAACACUGUACUACAUACAAUGAAACUCUAAAUGCAGUUGCAUUAGAAAACAAAAUCAUUGAUUUUUGUAAACCUAUUUAUAUAGGUUUUGCAGUGCUGGAAAUUUCCAAGUAUUUAAUGUAUGACUAUCACUAUAACGUAAUGCAGAAACAUUAUGAUGAUAAAAUUGAGCUCAUGUAUACAGAUACAGAUUCAUUGGUAUACUAUAUUCAAACUGAUGAUUUUUACAAUGAUCUGUUGAACAAUCCCAACUUGUUGAAUCGAAUGGACACUGCAAAUCUACCCCGUGACCACCCGUGUUACAUUGCUGAGAGAAAGAAGAUUCCU